ACAAAUUGAAUUCUAAUAUAUGGCUCGGUAGAGAAGCCGUAAACCUCACGAAUUAUCUUCGGUGCAGGCUUUGCGAU
This 77-nucleotide transfer RNA is filed under the name Halobacillus sp. BAB-2008. RNAcentral's name for it is "tRNA-Asp". Lineage: Bacteria; Bacillati; Bacillota; Bacilli; Caryophanales; Bacillaceae. The record is from RNAcentral.